GUCACUGCGUGUAGUAGUUAUGACGUCACAUAUGUUGCCGUAGCCACGACGUCACCGAGAUCUGUGCCCCUGUGUGUUCUACGUCAGGAUCCCGGCUGUUUGGCGGUGCAGAGCAGGCCUAGGGCUCGGAGUGAAGGCCGCGGCGGGACCGGGCCAGGCCGGCGCUGGGGAGAGAGUGAACCAGAGAGGCGCCGCGUACGGACAGUCCGCUCACCACGGCCGCAGGCUGAGCGGAGCCUAUGGCCCCGAAGCAGCAGCUGGAGAAGGCGGCCUGGCAGUGGACUGAGAGCGUCAGGCCGGAGGAGGUGAAGCAGGAACACAUCGAGCUGGCGUACCGCAUCCGCCUGGGCUCCUGCCGCAGGGACGCCCGCAGACGCAACUGUAGAGGAAACCCAAACUGCUUAGUAGGUCUUGGUGAACAUGUUUGGCUGGGAGAAAUUGAUGAAAAUAGCUUCCACAACAUUGAUGAUCCAAACUCUGAAAGGAGAUGCAAGAAUACCUUUGUUGGAUUAACUAAUCUUGGAGCUACUUGUUACGUUAACACCCUGCUUCAGGUUUGGUUUCACAACCUUGAGUUGCGACAAGCACUGUAUCUCUGCCAUAGUCCUCGAAAGGAAAUAGGGACUGGAGAAGCGAUUGAGGAUGAUGCAGAAUUUGAACCACAAUCCAUCUGUGAGCACCUUCAGUACUUGUUUGCUUUGUUGCAAAGCAGUAAUAGACGAUAUAUUGAUCCUUCUGGUUUUGUAAAAGCACUGGGCCUGGAUACAGGGCAACAGCAGGAUGCUCAAGAAUUCUCCAAGCUUUUUAUGUCACUAUUAGAGGACACACUAUCAAAACAGAACAAUCCAGAUGUACAGAAUAUUAUUCAGCAGCAGUUCUGUGGACAGUAUGCGUAUGUCACAGUGUGUAAUCAAUGCAGGCGGGAGUCUAAGCUGUUAUCUCGUUUUUAUGAACUGGAGUUAAAUAUCCAAGGACACAAGCAGCUGACAGAUUGCAUUGAUGAAUUUCUGAAGGAAGAAAAGCUAGAAGGAGAUAACAGGUACUUUUGUGAUGAAUGUCAGGACAAACAGAAUGCCACUAGGAAAAUUAAACUACUCAGCCUUCCAAGAACACUCAAUUUGCAGCUUUUGAGGUUUGUCUUUGACAGACAAACUGGUCAUAAGAAAAAGCUAAACUCUUACAUCAGCUUUCCUGAAGUUUUAGACCUAACUACAUACCUUGAACGAAAAGAUAUUGGCUGUAUUUAUGAACUGAGUGCGGUGCUGAUCCACAGAGGGGUGAGUGCAUAUUCCGGCCAUUACAUUGCACACGUGCGAGAUGACAGGACCGGCGACUGGUAUAAAUUUAAUGAUGAGGAGAUUGAGAAAAUGGAAGGGAAGAAGCUACAGUUGGGGAUAGAGGAAGAUCUUGCUGAACCUUCAAAGUCACAGACACGAAAACCCAAGUGUGUUAAAGGUGUUCACUGUUCGCGGAAUGCUUACAUGUUGGUGUACAGACGUAAAGUGGAAGGAGGCAAGGAAAAGGAAAUAACUGUUCAACUCCCACCACAUUUACAAAAAAUGGUUGAACGUGAUAACAAAAAAUUUGAGGAGUGGUGCAUGGAAAUGGCUGAGAUGCGGAAGCAGAGUGUGGACAAAGGCAAAGCCAAGCAUGAGGAGGUGCAAGAGCUCUUUAACAUGUUACCAGCUAAAGAAGAUGAGCACUAUGAAUUUCUACCAGUGGACUGGUUACGGAAGUGGCUGGAUGACUCGGCAGUAACAAAACCAAUUGAUAAUUCUUGCCACCUGUGUGCACAUAACAGACUUAUUCCUGAUAAAAUCUGUGAUGUCAAAAGGAUUUCUCAGAAAGCAGCUGAUAUCUUCUAUGCUAGAUAUGGAGGUGGUCCAAGGUUGGAUGCUACUGCUUUAUGUAGAGAUUGUGUGGUGGAAAAAUGCAGGAUUCUUAGAUUAAAAAAUCAGUUAAAUGAAGAUUACAAAAUCAUCUCCAACUUGACCAGGACCACAUUGCAAAGCCAUGAAGGAUAUUGGGUGGGAAAAGCCUCACUUCGAAGUUGGCGUCAACUAGCACUAAAUCAGUUGGAUGGAAAGGAAGAUGACCCAGACCACACUGAUGGGAAAAGCAAUGGAGAAGGCCUAAACAAUUUGCAUGCCAAAGGGGAUGACGAGAUAAUAGGAGAAAAGGAUGAUGAUGAAGACAUGAACUUUAACGAAGAUCUUGUCUGUCCACAUGGCGAUUUAUGCACAUCUGAAACUGAAAGAAGACUUGUGUCUGUUGAAACGUGGCAUAGACUAAAGGCUUAUUUCCCAAAGUCACCUGAGUUCCCACAUUAUCACUCGCCUUGUGUACAGUGUCAGAAGGUAUUAGAGAAGGAGGGUGAGGAAAAUGAGACUCUGAGCAAGAUGAUGGCAAAUGAGCAGAAAUCAGCACUUCUAUGUCUUUUUCAAGAUAAGAAUAGACCACUGCUAAUCAAAUGGCCUGAGGAGACAGAUGUUCUUUAUGUUGUUUCCCAGUUUUUUGUCGAAGAGUGGAAGAAGUUUAUCAGGAAGCCAACGAAAUGCAGUCCUGUAUCAUCUGUGGGUAACAAUGCACUUCUCUGUCCACACGGAGGUCUCAUGUUUACAGCAGAGUCAAUGACCAAAGAGGAUUCAAAACAUGUAGCUCUUUUAUGGCCAAGUGAAUGGGAAAUCAUCCACAAAUUAUUUGUCGUUGAUAAUACGAUUAAAGUUAUUCGAUUGAUGAGCACUGGAGAAAAUGGCACUGUACAACUGGAAUAUACCACCAGUCCUGAUCUUUGUGGAGAGUGUCGGGAAGGUUUACUUUGUCAACAGCAGCGAGAUUUAAGAGAGUACACACAGGCCACUAUCUAUAUCCGAAAAGUAGUGGAGAGUAUCAAGGUGAUGAAAGAAGGUGCACCAGAGCUAAAUUUAAGUGGUUCAGAGGCAGAGGAGGAGAGAGAGGAAUGCAAAGUAGAAGGAGAGAAGGAUCCUGACUUUAACCAGAGUAAUGGAGCAAAACGACGGAAGCUGACACACCCUUGUAUUGGUGGUGGUAACAGCAGCACAUACUAUAAACAGGGAAUUCGACGUAGCACACGGCACAGAGUUCGUGGAGAAAAGGAGCUCAUCGUGUCAGCAAAUCAGACUCUCAAAGAGUUGAAAAUUCAGAUCAUGCAUGCCUUUUCUGUUGCACCAUUUGAUCAAAAUUUGUCACUGGAAGGACGGAUGCUAACUGAUGAUACUGCAACACUGGGAAAUCUGGGAAUUAUCCCAGAAUCAGUCAUUCUGUUAAAGGCUGAUGAACCAAUUGCUGAUUAUACAGCAAUGGAUGAUAUAAUGCAAGUAUGUAUGCCUGAAGAGGGUUUUAAAGAUAUGGGUAGCAAUGUACCAAAAGGCAGCAGACCAGGUUAUAAAUGUCAAUAUACUGGAGUAUCACCUGGACAGGUUUUGGGAUUGGCACUUCAAGUAUAACUAUACCAAGUAAAGCAUAAAUAGAAGCAGGAGUUGACUACACACCCCUCGACCUCUUCCAUUCUUCUUAUCAUCGUGGUACUGGUCUACUGGGCCACUGAGCCACUGAGCAAAUGAAAAUUGCUGUGGACAGCUGAGUGAAAAGUUAUGCAAUAAGGAAGGACAAAGGUGAAGUUGCUCAAACAUUGCACCAAGCAUACAGGACAUGCAUUGACUUGGUUUAUACUUUUAAAAAGAAAGGACCAGUCUUAAAGUUUGCUUGUAUCUCCUGCCUUUUUAUGCAAAAAUGCACAGUGUCUUGAAUUCAGUUGAUGGAGCAAUAGAGGAAAAUAAACCCGUUUCGAUGCUGCCUUGACAUUUCAGAGUGACCAGAUCAUUGGUGUUGAGAGAGAAAAUCCCCUUCGAUUCACUGUGUCUAAAAAUGUAUUUGAAGCCAGAAUAGUGUCUUGAUGCCUGUUCUGAUCAAGCUGUUUGAUGUAAAGUUUCUUCCUUGAGCACGCUCAACUGUUGGCAAGUUGCUAUUUACCAUGAGGCCAAUAAUUAACUUUUUCUCCUGUGAUGUCAUCACACACUUAAAAGUUGAUUUUUGCUUAGAAUGACACAUCAACCUAACUGUCAAUAUGUGUUAAUACUGAGUUAUAUAAAUUGUUUAACACAUCAAAUUAACAAGUCACUACUGCAUUUCAAAAUGUAAAAUAUGCAAGAACAAAAUGAACAAAUUUAAUGUUCUAUGAGUAUCCUUGUUCAGGUUGUUCCUUGCAACUUGUAAACUGUGUACACAGUAAAAUAGUUGCCUGCAUUAAUUACAUUAAUGUUUCCUGAUAUAUCCGAGUAAUAUUGUACUAGGACCACUGAAGUGCUGUAAAUAAAUGCAAUGCUUCUUGAUUUAA
Chiloscyllium plagiosum (whitespotted bambooshark) is the source of this 4357-nucleotide non-coding RNA. The record is from RefSeq and is a predicted model, not a curated record. NCBI's taxonomy places the organism in Eukaryota, Metazoa, Chordata, Chondrichthyes, Orectolobiformes, Hemiscylliidae.